CGGUCUGGCUCAGUUGGGCAUCGUUGCAGCGAGCGCCACGGUGGAGAGCCUUAUGUUACACUGCUCGCAGCAAGGGCUGCUUGCAUGGGGUGCAAGGGGUCGAGUGUUCGAAUCACUCCGUCCCGACCA
RNAcentral lists this transfer RNA (129 nucleotides) under Pseudomonas gingeri. Its description in RNAcentral is "tRNA-Pro". Lineage: Bacteria; Pseudomonadati; Pseudomonadota; Gammaproteobacteria; Pseudomonadales; Pseudomonadaceae. The record is from RNAcentral.